GACGAACGCUGGCGGCGUGCCUAAUACAUGCAAGUCGAGCGGACAGACGGGAGCUUGCUCCCUGAUGUUAGCGGCGGACGGGUGAGUAACACGUGGGUAACCUGCCUGUAAGACUGGGAUAACUCCGGGAAACCGGGGCUAAUACCGGAUGGUUGUCUGAACCGCAUGGUUCAGACAUAAAAGGUGGCUUCGGCUACCACUUACAGAUGGACCCGCGGCGCAUUAGCUAGUUGGUGAGGUAACGGCUCACCAAGGCAACGAUGCGUAGCCGACCUGAGAGGGUGAUCGGCCACACUGGGACUGAGACACGGCCCAGACUCCUACGGGAGGCAGCAGUAGGGAAUCUUCCGCAAUGGACGAAAGUCUGACGGAGCAACGCCGCGUGAGUGAUGAAGGGUUUCGGAUCGUAAAGCUCGGUUGUUAGGGAAGAACAAGUGCCGUUCAAAUAGGGCGGCACCUUGACGGUACCUAACCAGAAAGCCACGGCUAACUACGUG
Molecule: ribosomal RNA, 497 nt
Filed under: uncultured bacterium
Lineage: Bacteria
Description: partial 16S ribosomal RNA
Rfam family: Bacterial small subunit ribosomal RNA
Source: RNAcentral